AUGGACUUACAAGGGAGGACACCAGUUGUGUCAAAGGAGAGUGGGAAAUGUAUUCACGUCCUAGCAGUAGGUGUCGCAGCUCGCUGAAUCGAGUCUUAGGCAAUUACCUCUUUGCAAUAGAACGAACUGACAUGCCACAAGAUCGGAAACGCACGGAAGGUCUAAAAAAUGGGGAAGCUCUGCCCUAGAGUUGUCAUGAAAUGUGGAUCUAAGUGUUAGGAUUUACAAAUGGGAACAUCUACCUAAUGUUAGCAUACAAAGAAUAAG
This 267-nucleotide long non-coding RNA is filed under the name Lathyrus oleraceus (garden pea). RNAcentral's name for it is "Pisum sativum (pea) long non-coding RNA (PSAT_LNC015664)". The record is from RNAcentral. Lineage: Eukaryota; Viridiplantae; Streptophyta; Magnoliopsida; Fabales; Fabaceae.